RNAcentral lists this ribosomal RNA (365 nucleotides) under uncultured bacterium. Its description in RNAcentral is "bacterial SSU rRNA". It matches the Rfam family "Bacterial small subunit ribosomal RNA", at positions 527 to 896 of the family's 1533-position model. The record is from RNAcentral.
GGAGGAUCCAAGCGUUAUCCGGAAUCAUUGGGUUUAAAGGGUCCGUAGGCGGUUUAGUAAGUCAGUGGUGAAAGCCCAUCGCUCAACGGUGGAACGGCCAUUGAUACUGCUAAACUUGAAUUAUUAGGAAGUAACUAGAAUAUGUAGUGUAGCGGUGAAAUGCUUAGAGAUUACAUGGAAUACCAAUUGCGAAGGCAGGUUACUACUAAUUGAUUGACGCUGAUGGACGAAAGCGUGGGUAGCGAACAGGAUUAGAUACCCUGGUAGUCCACGCCGUAAACGAUGGAUACUAGCUGUUGGGAGCAAUCUCAGUGGCUAAGCGAAAGUGAUAAGUAUCCCACCUGGGGAGUACGUUCGCAAGAAUG